CAGCAGCCGCGGUAAUACGAAGGGUGCAAGCGUUAAUCGGAAUUACUGGGCGUAAAGCGCACGCAGGCGGUCUGUCAAGUCAGAUGUGAAAUCCCCGGGCUUAACCUGGGAACUGCAUUUGAAACUGGCAGGCUAGAGUCUUGUAGAGGGGGGUAGAAUUCCAGGUGUAGCGGUGAAAUGCGUAGAGAUCUGGAGGAAUACCGGUGGCGAAGGCGGCCCCCUGGACAAAGACUGACGCUCAGGUGCGAAAGCUAGGGGAGCAAAUGGGAUUAGAUACCCCAGUAGUCCCUGUCUCUUAUAA
This 301-nucleotide ribosomal RNA is filed under the name uncultured bacterium. Its description in RNAcentral is "partial 16S ribosomal RNA". It matches the Rfam family "Bacterial small subunit ribosomal RNA", at positions 509 to 809 of the family's 1533-position model. The record is from RNAcentral.